AUUGAACGCUGGCGGCAUGCCUUACACAUGCAAGUCGAACGGCAGCGCGGGAGCAAUCCUGGCGGCGAGUGGCGAACGGGUGAGUAACAUAUCGGAACGUGCCCUGGAGUGGGGGAUAACUAGUCGAAAGAUUAGCUAAUACCGCAUACGAUCUACGGAUGAAAGUGGGGGAUCGCAAGACCUCAUGCUCGUGGAGCGGCCGAUAUCUGAUUAGCAGUUGGUAGGGUAAAAGCCUACCAAGGCGACGAUCAGUAGCUGGUCUGAGAGGACGACCAGCCACACUGGGACUGAGACACGGCCCAGACUCCUACGGGAGGCAGCAGUGGGGAAUUUUGGACAAUGGGGCAACCCUGAUCCAGCAAUGCCGCGUGAGUGAAGAAGGCCU
RNAcentral lists this ribosomal RNA (385 nucleotides) under uncultured bacterium. RNAcentral's name for it is "bacterial SSU rRNA". It matches the Rfam family "Bacterial small subunit ribosomal RNA", at positions 30 to 417 of the family's 1533-position model. The record is from RNAcentral.